This 876-nucleotide ribosomal RNA is filed under the name uncultured Mesoplasma sp. RNAcentral's name for it is "bacterial SSU rRNA". It matches the Rfam family "Bacterial small subunit ribosomal RNA", at positions 546 to 1433 of the family's 1533-position model. The record is from RNAcentral. Lineage: Bacteria; Bacillati; Mycoplasmatota; Mollicutes; Entomoplasmatales; Entomoplasmataceae.
CGGAUUUAUUGGGCGUACAGGGUGCGUAGGCGGUUGUGUAAGUUUGAGGUUAAAUCCCGGAGCUCAACUCCGGUCCGCCUUGAAAACUACAUGACUAGAAUACAAGAGAGGUAAAUGGAAUUCCAUGUGUAGCGGUAAAAUGCGUAGAUAUAUGGAAGAACACCUGUGGCGAAAGCGGUUUACCAGCUUGUUAUUGACGCUGAGGCACGAAAGCGUGGGGAGCAAAUAGGAUUAGAUACCCUAGUAGUCCACGCCGUAAACGUUGAGUACUAGGUGUCGGGAAUUAUCUCGGCGCCGCAGCUAACGCAUUAAGUACUCCGCCUGAGUAGUAUGCACGCAAGUGUGAAACUCAAAGGAAUUGACGGGGACCCGCACAAGUGGUGGAGCAUGUGGUUUAAUUCGAAGCAACACGAAGAACCUUACCAGGGCUUGACAUCCAGUGCAAAGGCAUAGAGAUAUGCUGGAGGCUAACAUUGAGACAGGUGGUGCAUGGUUGUCGUCAGUUCGUGCCGUGAGGUGUUUGGUUAAGUCCAGCAACGAACGCAACCCUUGUCAUUAGUUACUAACAUUUAGUUGAGGACUCUAAUGAGACUGCUAGUGUAAGCUAGAGGAAGGUGGGGAUGACGUCAAAUCAUCAUGCCCCUUAUGUCCUGGGCUACACACGUGCUACAAUGGCUGAUACAAAGAGUCGCAAUCUCGCAAGGAGGAGCUAAUCUCAUAAAAUCAGUCUCAGUUCGGAUUGAAGGCUGCAACUCGCCUUCAUGAAGCCGGAAUCACUAGUAAUCGCGAAUCAGCUAUGUCGCGGUGAAUACGUUCUCGGGUCUUGUACACACCGCCCGUCACACCAUGAGAGUUGGUAACACCAGAAGCAGGUAG